UACGAACGCUGGCGGCGUGCCUAAUACAUGCAAGUAGAACGCUGAAGAGAGGAGCUUGCUCUUCUUGGAUGAGUUGCGAACGGGUGAGUAACGCGUAGGUAACCUGCCUUGUAGCGGGGGAUAACUAUUGGAAACGAUAGCUAAUACCGCAUAACAAUGGAUGACACAUGUCAUUUAUUUGAAAGGGGCAAUUGCUCCACUACAAGAUGGACCUGCGUUGAAUUAGCUAGUAGGUGAGGUAACGGCUCACCUAGGCGACGAUACAUAGCCGACCUGAGAGGGUGAUCGGCCACACUGGGACUGAGACACGGCCCACACUCCUACGGGAGGCAGCAGUAGGGAAUCUUCGGCAAUGGGGGCAACCCUGACCGAGCAACGCCGCGUGAGUGAAGAAGGUUUUCGGAUCGUAAAGCUCUGUUGUAAGUCAAGAACGAGUGUGAGAGUGGAAAGUUCACACUGUGACGGUAGCUUACCAGAAAGGGACGGCUAACUACGUGCCAGCAGCCGCGGUAAUACGUAGGUCCCGAGCGUUGUCCGGAUUUAUUGGGCGUAAAGCGAGCGCAGGCGGUUUGAUAAGUCUGAAGUUAAAGGCUGUGGCUCAACCAUAGUUCGCUUUGGAAACUGUCGAACUUGAGUGCAGAAGGGGAGAGUGGAAUUCCAUGUGUAGCGGUGAAAUGGGUAGAUAUAUGGAGGAACACCGGUGGCGAAAGCGGCUCUCUGGUCUGUAACUGACGCUGAGGCUCGAAAGCGUGGGGAGCGAACAGGAUUAGAUACCCUGGUAGUCCACGCCGUAAACGAUGAGUGCUAGGUGUUGGAUCCUUUCCGGGAUUCAGUGCCGCAGCUAACGCAUUAAGCACUCCGCCUGGGGAGUACGACCGCAAGGUUGAAACUCAAAGGAAUUGACGGGGGCCCGCACAAGCGGUGGAGCAUGUGGUUUAAUUCGAAGCAACGCGAAGAACCUUACCAGGUCUUGACAUCCCGAUGCUAUUUCUAGAGAUAGAAAGUUACUUCGGUACAUCGGUGACAGGUGGUGCAUGGUUGUCGUCAGCUCGUGUCGUGAGAUGUUGGGUUAAGUCCCGCAACGAGCGCAACCCCUAUUGUUAGUUGCCAUCAUUCAGUUGGGCACUCUAGCGAGACUGCCGGUAAUAAACCGGAGGAAGGUGGGGAUGACGUCAAAUCAUCAUGCCCCUUAUGACCUGGGCUACACACGUGCUACAAUGGUUGGUACAACGAGUUGCGAGUCGGUGACGGCAAGCUAAUCUCUUAAAGCCAAUCUCAGUUCGGAUUGUAGGCUGCAACUCGCCUACAUGAAGUCGGAAUCGCUAGUAAUCGCGGAUCAGCACGCCGCGGUGAAUACGUUCCCGGGCCUUGUACACACCGCCCGUCACACCACGAGAGUUUGUAACACCCGAAGUCGGUGAGGUAACCUUUUGGAGCCAGCCGCCUAAGGUGGGAU
This 1456-nucleotide ribosomal RNA is filed under the name uncultured organism. RNAcentral's name for it is "SSU rRNA". It matches the Rfam family "Bacterial small subunit ribosomal RNA". The record is from RNAcentral.